Molecule: ribosomal RNA, 502 nt
Filed under: uncultured bacterium
Lineage: Bacteria
Description: bacterial SSU rRNA
Rfam family: Bacterial small subunit ribosomal RNA
Source: RNAcentral
AUUGAACGCUGGCGGCAUGCCUUACACAUUCAAGUCGAACGUGAAAGGGGGGCAACCCCCGAGUAGAGUGGCGGACGGGUGAGUAAUACAUCGGAACGUGCCCAGUAGUGGGGGACAACCUCGAGAAAUCGAGGCUAAUACCGCAUACGACCUACGGGUGAAAGCGGGGGACCGCAAGGCCUCGCGCUAUUGGAGCGGCCGAUGUCCGAUUAGCUAGUUGGUAGGGUAAAAUCCUACCAAGGCAACGAUCGGUAGCUGGUCUGAGAGGACGACCGGCCACACUGGGACUGAGACACGGCCCAGACUCCUACGGGAGGCAGCAGUGGGGAAUGUUGGACAAUGGGGGCAACCCUGAUCCAGCCAUGCCGCGUGCGGGAAGAAGGCCUUCGGGUUGUAAACCGCUUUCGGCCGGAACGAAAUCGCCGGGGAGAACAUCUCCGGUGGAUGACGGUACCGGAAGAAGAAGCACCGGCUAACUACGUGCCAGCCGCCGCCGUAACAC